GGCGGACGGGUGAGUAAUAUAUAGUUAACCUGCCCUCGAGAAAGGAAUAACAGUUGGAAACGACUGCUAAUGCCCUAUAUGCCUUUAAGACAUAAGUCUGCAAGGGAAAUGCUUUUGUGCUCGAGGAUGGGACUGUACGGUAUCAGAUAGUUGGCGGGGUAAUGGCCUACCAAGUCAAUGACGCCUAACUGGUUUGAGAGGAUGAUCAGUCACACUGGAACUGAGACACGGUCCAGACUCCUACGGGAGGCAGCAGUGGGGAAUAUUGCACAAUGGAGGAAACUCUGAUGCAGCAACGCCGCGUGGAGGAUGACACAUUUCGGUGCGUAAACUCCUUUUAUAUAGGAAGAUAAUGACGGUACUAUAUGAAUAAGCGCCGGCUAACUCCGUGCCAGCAGCCGCGGUAAUACGGAGGGCGCAAGCGUUACUCGGAAUCACUGGGCGUAAAGAGCGUGUAGGCGGAUAGAUAAGUCAGAAGUGAAAUCCUAUGGCUCAACCAUAGAACUGCUUUUGAAACUGUUUAUCUAGAGUGUGGGAGAGGUAGAUGGAAUUUCUGGUGUAGGGGUAAAAUCCGUAGAGAUCAGAAGGAAUACCGAUUGCGAAGGCGAUCUACUGGAACAUAACUGACGCUGAGACGCGAAAGCGUGGGGAGCAAACAGGAUUAGAUACCCUGGUAGUCCACGCCCUAAACGAUGUUCACUAGUUGUUGUGAGGCUUGACCUUGCAGUAAUGCAGUCAACACAUUAAGU
RNAcentral lists this ribosomal RNA (749 nucleotides) under uncultured Arcobacter sp. Its description in RNAcentral is "bacterial SSU rRNA". It matches the Rfam family "Bacterial small subunit ribosomal RNA", at positions 97 to 865 of the family's 1533-position model. The record is from RNAcentral. Lineage: Bacteria; Pseudomonadati; Campylobacterota; Epsilonproteobacteria; Campylobacterales; Arcobacteraceae.